This is a long non-coding RNA of Acinonyx jubatus (cheetah), 1083 nucleotides long. RefSeq lists it as uncharacterized. The record is from RefSeq and is a predicted model, not a curated record. NCBI's taxonomy places the organism in Eukaryota, Metazoa, Chordata, Mammalia, Carnivora, Felidae. The transcript is spliced from 3 exons.
AUUUCAGUGAGACUCAGAGUCCUGUAGACAGUUCGGGAUUGACUUUUAAAUUGGAAUGCCAGGUUAAAUAUUGGCUCUGGUCUCUCAACCUAACACAGUCUUUUGGGGAAAAACAUCCAUUUUUAACAACUCUUCUGGCCAUAAGACUGUUGUUUAUAUUUAACCCAAAUCCCUCUAGCAGCUGAACAGUUCAUCUCUCCUCUUGAAGAGGAAUUCUUGAUUACAGUUCCACAAUCCCAGGUGCGCUUUGGAAUCUGAAAUUUGUGGAGUGUAGAAAGGUAAUGCAGUGCAUAUAUGGCAAAUCAUAUCCCAUCUCCAGGGAGUUCUAAAGCAGCAUCCUGUAACAAACAUAUUUAAAUCUGUGCAAAUGAAACAUAAAAAUUCACAGCAAGCAUGAUGAAUAGACAUUAUAAACAGUCUUAUGUGAGUUCUGAUUUUGUCAUUAAAUUUAGGAGAAAUUUUACUUUUCAGAGCUUUUUCUAUCUGGGCAUUAAGGAUAAGAGAUUGUAGACUGCAAGUUCCUGCAAAAAAAUGAAAUUGAGUGAACUUCAAUUGGGAAAGGCUGAAGGGGAAACAAAUGAACAACAGCAGUGGUAUAUGCUGCAAGAGCACAUUUAACAGAUUUCUUCCCACAAACAAACUGGAUUUGGAAUGAAAAUUGUCCGCGGCCAGACUCAGAGUCCCAACCAGGAGACCUUGCAAUAAAAAGAUGGAGAUUCAUCCACAUCGUCUUGAUGGCUGCAGUACCACUGUUUUCAUUGCUGUGUAGGGCUCUCUUGUAUGCUCUGCCAUUUAAACCUUCUACCACGGCGGCUUUUGGCUUCUGACUGCUCUGGGCUGCUAGGGCUAGUGCUGCUUGAAGCAUUCUGGAGUCUGUUUAACCUCUGAACACAAAAGGUAUUAUGGAAGAAAUAUGUAUUUAUUCAGUUUCACUUGUCACAAGGAAGAAAAAGCAACCACUUUCCUGUACUUUGCUAAAAAGCAUGUUUUCUACAAAACAAUUCUAGAAGUCAAAAAGGAAAGUUUCCAUUUAUUCUUUCAUUUUUUGCAUUACAGAUACAAUCUUGAGAUUAAUAAACUCCA